UGGGGAAUAUUGCACAAUGGGGGAAACCCUGAUGCAGCGACGCCGCGUGAACGAAGAAGGUAUUCGUAUCGUAAAGUUCUGUCCUAUGGGAAGAUAAUGACAGUACCAUAGAAGAAAGCUCCGGCUAAAUACGUGCCAGCAGCCGCGGUAAUACGUAUGGAGCGAGCGUUGUCCGGAAUUAUUGGGCGUAAAGGGUACGCAGGCGGUUUAAUAAGUCGAAUGUUAAAGAUCGGGGCUCAACCCCGUAAAGCAUUGGAAACUGAUAACCUUGAGUAGUGGAGAGGAAAGUGGAAUUCCUAGAGUAGUGGUGAAAUACGUAGAUAUUAGGAGGAAUACCAGCAGCGAAGGAGACUUUCUGGACACAAGCUGACGCUGAGGUACGAACGCGUGGGGAGCAAGCAGG
RNAcentral lists this ribosomal RNA (403 nucleotides) under bacterium. RNAcentral's name for it is "partial 16S ribosomal RNA". It matches the Rfam family "Bacterial small subunit ribosomal RNA", at positions 355 to 776 of the family's 1533-position model. The record is from RNAcentral.